UACGGAGGGAGCUAGCGUUGUUCGGAAUUACUGGGCGUAAAGCGCGCGUAGGCGGCUUUGUAAGUUAGAGGUGAAAGCCCGGGGCUCAACCCCGGAACUGCCUUUGAUACUGACGAUCUGGAGAUCGGGAGAGGUUGGUGGAAUUCCGAGUGUAGAGGUGAAAUUCGUAGAUAUUCGGAGGAACACCAGAAGCGAAGGCGGCCAACUGGCCCGAUACUGACGCUGAGGCGCGAAAGCGUGGGGAGCAAACAGG
RNAcentral lists this ribosomal RNA (253 nucleotides) under uncultured bacterium. RNAcentral describes it as "partial 16S ribosomal RNA". It matches the Rfam family "Bacterial small subunit ribosomal RNA", at positions 524 to 776 of the family's 1533-position model. The record is from RNAcentral.